RNAcentral lists this ribosomal RNA (121 nucleotides) under Echinops telfairi (small Madagascar hedgehog). Lineage: Eukaryota; Metazoa; Chordata; Mammalia; Afrosoricida; Tenrecidae. The record is from RNAcentral.
AGCUAUAGCCAGAGCACCAUCAAUGUUUCAGAUUUACCUGAUCUUGGAAGCUAAGCAAGCUUUGCCUUGGUUAGUACUUUAGGGUGGAAGACCACAGGGAAUACCAGGGGCACCAUAGGUU